AAGUCGUAACAAGGUUUCCGUAGGUGAACCUGCGGAAGGAUCAUUACUGAAGAAAUGGUAGGGUUGAUGCUGGCUCUUCGGAGUAUGUGCUCGCCUUAUCGCUUUUUCUACUUCUCCACCUGUGCACCUAUUGUAGAUCGUGUUGGAAAUCCUUUGUGGUUUCUCGUUCAUUUUGAACGGUUCAGAGGUCUUGCUUUUUUGGCUAGACUUCGACUCUUCACGAUCUAUGUUAUAUCAACUCUUUAAAGUCUUUGAAUGUACUAGUUGGUCUUUAUUGACCGAUAAUUUUAAAACAACUUUCAGCAACGGAUCUCUUGGCUCUC
RNAcentral lists this unclassified non-coding RNA (323 nucleotides) under Delicatula integrella. RNAcentral describes it as "partial internal transcribed spacer region". The stretch from base 1 to 46 matches the Rfam family "Eukaryotic small subunit ribosomal RNA", at positions 1786 to 1831 of the family's 1831-position model. Lineage: Eukaryota; Fungi; Basidiomycota; Agaricomycetes; Agaricales; Porotheleaceae. The record is from RNAcentral.